RNAcentral lists this long non-coding RNA (313 nucleotides) under Lathyrus oleraceus (garden pea). RNAcentral describes it as "Pisum sativum (pea) long non-coding RNA (PSAT_LNC041625)". Lineage: Eukaryota; Viridiplantae; Streptophyta; Magnoliopsida; Fabales; Fabaceae. The record is from RNAcentral.
UUCAAACUUGAUUAGCAUUGGGACCUAAGUCCUCCAGGAUAAGAAUACCUGACCUCACCAGAUCUUGAACCUUCAUCUUCAGCUGAAAGCAACUGUCCACAUCAUGACCAGGAGCACCCGAGUGAUAGACACAAUGCUGUUCAGGCCUAUACCACCACCGAGGGUUGACAGGUAUGGGAGGCGGGUCUCUAGGAGUGAUCAAGUUCCGCUCUAUCAGAGUGGGAUACAGUUCGGCGUAGGACAUGGGGAUUGGAUCAAAAAUGAUCUUCUUCCUCUCAUUACUUGUACCAGCUUGAUUGUCAAUGGGAGGCUG